RNAcentral lists this long non-coding RNA (447 nucleotides) under Vombatus ursinus (common wombat). RNAcentral's name for it is "lncRNA (ENSVURG00010008777.1)". Lineage: Eukaryota; Metazoa; Chordata; Mammalia; Diprotodontia; Vombatidae. The record is from RNAcentral.
AUAAUUUUGUUUGUAUUUUAUUUAUUUAUUUAAUUUAUUUCUUUGUUAUUAUCUAAACUAUACUUCUCUUUCCCUGCAGGAGUCCUUCUACCCUAGUGCCAGCCCAUACCACAAAGAGAACUGGACAAAAGUAGAGAUUUCUGAGCAGACGCACCAUCUUAACUUACAAGAGUAUGCGGGAGAAACAGUUGUCCAAAGGGAAAUAGAAAAGAAGAGACAACUUUCCAGGAGCCAUCCCAUCACCAAUGAUUACCUGGUUAACGUUGGCAGCAUUCCAGAAGAAAAUAAAGAUGUAAUCAAAUACAGGUUGGACUCCACCGUUCAAAACAAUGUGGUGUAUGAGUUCCACUCCUUUAUAACUGACCAAAAAGUGACAGACCAGAAAUAUCGGAAUUUAACGCGAUGUGAAAGCACCCUGAGAGCUAUGGCUACACAAGACGCGACACG